UACGUAGGGGGCAAGCGUUGUCCGGAUUUAUUGGGCGUAAAGAGCGUGUAGGCGGCCUGACAAGUCUGCUGUGAAAACUCGAGGCUCAACCUCGAGAUGUCGGCGGAAACUGUCUGGCUAGAGUCCGGAAGAGGAGAGUGGAAUUCCUGGUGUAGCGGUGAAAUGCGCAGAUAUCAGGAAGAACACCUAUGGCGAAGGCAGCUCUCUGGGACGGUACUGACGCUGAGACGCGAAAGUGUGGGGAGCGAACAGG
This 253-nucleotide ribosomal RNA is filed under the name uncultured bacterium. RNAcentral's name for it is "partial 16S ribosomal RNA". It matches the Rfam family "Bacterial small subunit ribosomal RNA", at positions 524 to 776 of the family's 1533-position model. The record is from RNAcentral.